RNAcentral lists this ribosomal RNA (254 nucleotides) under uncultured bacterium. RNAcentral describes it as "partial 16S ribosomal RNA". It matches the Rfam family "Bacterial small subunit ribosomal RNA", at positions 524 to 776 of the family's 1533-position model. The record is from RNAcentral.
UACGUAGGGUGCGAGCGUUAAUCGGAAUUACUGGGCGUAAAGCGUGCGCAGGCGGUUAUUUAAGUCAGGUGUGAAAGCCCUGGGCUUAACCUAGGAAUUGCGCUUGAGACUGGAUAGCUUGGAGUGCGGCAGAGGGAGGUGGAAUUCCACGUGUAGCAGUGAAAUGCGUAGAGAUGUGGAGGAACACCAAUGGCGAAGGCAGCCUUCUGGGCCAACACUGACGCUCAUGCACGAAAGCGUGGGGAGCAAACAGG